GUUCACACCUGAGACCCAACCGUUCACACCUAGGCCCGCGUGACGUGUCGCCGCUCUCCCUUCUUCUCUUCCCAUUCCGUCCGCGAUGUGCGGCGAUAUCUAGGGUCCCUGACAAGUUUCCGGCGAUUCUCCGGUGAUUUGCCUAGCGAAUCUCUCGGCGGCGAGGUUGGUGUUUCUCGGGAGGUUCGCGGGCUAGUUGGUGUGGGCGUGGGGGAGGUCGUCGUCCUCCAGGCUGGAGAUCGAGACGUGCGGGAGGUCGUCAUCCUCCAGGCCGGAGAUCGAGACGCGCGGGAGGUCGUCGUCCUCCGGGCCGGAGAUCGAGACACGCGGGAGGAUGUCUUCCUUCAGGCCUAAGAGCGAGCCGUGCGUCAGGGUUGCGUGCUCGGCGGCGAGAGUUAGGGCGCGCUGGUGAACGGGAUUUCGUCACCAGAGAGUGUCGCACGCGAGAGAGCGGUGGAAGCUCAUCUGUGUUCAUAUAUUCACCGGUGGAGGGUUUCCUGCGGGCAAGGGCUUCACAGAUGGGCAACACGUAGGCUGUUGGGCAUCACAGAUCUGAAAUUCAGUGGAUUUUUUGCUCUGCACAAGUGCUUCAGGGAUUGACUGUGGAGGUUCGUGGGCAUCCGAUAUCUGCAAUUCAGCCAUUUACUUCUUUUUCUAGCAACGUUGUCUCCAUGGAGGAGCAAAUCCCUUCACUAGCUCAUCGCGGCACCCGGGCUGUCCGUGCACUGACGCGGCGGUUAGAGAAUUGGAAGGAUACACGGCGGCGGGUUCAGGAGUGCCAGGGAUAAGGGCUACGGCUGACUGCUAAGUGCAUCUCGCUGCCUUCUCUUCUGUUAAAUCGCUUGAACUCUCUUUAGUAGAGUUGCUAGCCACUUCAGUUGAGUAGAUUAUCCUUGGUAAUUAAAUUGUCCAUAUCCUUAAGUAAGUUGUUUACUACUCAUUUUUAUCAAGUUUUGUUUUGAUGCAAUAUCCAUGCUAUGUUUCACUUUAGUAGAGUUUCUAGUCACUUAAUUAAGUUGCCCAUACCCUUAAGUAAGUUUUUUGCUGCUCAUUUUUAUCAAGCAUCAAUGCUACGUCUCGCCAAGUAGAGAGCAAUUUUUUAGGUAAAAUGUUGAUGUCUAUUACCUCUAGUAGUUACUGAUUAUUGGCAAAAACGUUGGGUGAAUUGUUGAUGUCCACUACCUUUAUUAGUACUGAUUUUGGGGUACUCCAUCUGAUCCAUAUAAGUGUCAUGGUUGUAUUUCAAAUUCAACUAAAAAUGAACUAAAACCACGACAAUUAUUAUGAAUUGGAGGAACUAAAUGUUUUCUGCCUUAUUAAUGCCUUUCUUAAAGAAUGGUUUAUUUGCCCGAUUAUGACCAAGUUGUUUUGCUAAUAUGAUGAUGUUCGUUAUUAGUUUGUAACUAAGUUACUUUUUCUCUGUAUGCAUGAUCUUAUAGUUUUUAGCUUGAUGCUUAGCAACAUCAUUUUUAAGUUGCAUAUUGAUUUCGAUUGAGUUGUUUAUUCAACAUGUGUAAGUUGGUUUUUAUUUUUAACUAAGUUAAUUUUUGCCAUCAUGUUUAACUAAGUUCUGUAGGUAUCAUGUUAAUUUUUGAGUUACAAGCAAAUUUCCUGAAGUAGUAUGGUGAAUUCAGCCAAGUUGCCUUCUUGUUAGCUAGCUGUUUUUUUUGAAAUAGGGGAGCUCCAGCCUCUGCAUCAAAGUGAUGCAGACAACUUUUAUUUCCACAAUAUGCUAAGUUGUUUUUCGACAAUAUGCAAUAAAAGUUGACUUGGCAUCAUUAUUAUGUUGCAUAUGCGAUACUUCUGUUUACUACAGCUAUAUUCAUGAAGGUGAGCAUAAGGUCAAGUUACGCUGAAUUGCCCUCAUGAUUUAAGUUGUUUUUCUAAAUACCUAACUUGCCUAUGGGCUAGCUGUUUUUAGUAAAGCUAAUUCAUAAAGGUGGGCAUAAUGUUCAUUUUAAGUUGAUUGCCAUCAUAAUUAUGUUGCUUUUUGCUAAAUACCUAAGUUGCAUAUGGGCUAGACUGUGGGGAUUUUAGCUUGCGGUGCGCUCAUUUUUAUGUGUGCUCCGCCCCGUUCCUGAUGAUUCGGCUAUGUAGGAUGUAGAUGUCCUGUAAAAAUCAUCAUAAUGCCCACGAUUUAGCUAGAUAUUUGAUCUUAUAUUGCUGCUGUCCUAGUGAUAGUGAGCAUUCAUGUGCACGAAUGUUGCCAUGUAUGAAAAAAUUCACUUGUGAGUAAGGGAUGCCCGCCACAUUAAUCGCAUUCCCAUCCAGCUAGCACUCUGUAUCAUUGAAUCACUAGACACCAAGUGCUUCAACUUAUUCUGCAUUGUUGCAAACACGUCUAGCUGCAAGUACCACUUUACAUCCAUGAUAAUUCAUAUAGUAUUGACCUGCCUGCAGAGUGGGCAUCCUGUAUUUUUUUAGCUGUCACAUGUUUGUACUUUGUAGGAAAAGUAAGUAUUUUCAAUAUAUUAAUAGAUGAAUUAUUUUCUCAAGGGUAUCUCUGUAGGAGGAGAAGUGAGAUGAUUCUGCAUAAAAUACAAAAGAUAUGUAAACGGUGCCCAUGCUACUACAUGUUCAGAAUCCUAUAAAAUUGUCAACCGCUGAAUUGACCCAUUCUGCAAUGUUAGUCUUCUUGUUCUUCGCUGGUGGUCACCUGCUCGAGCUGCUGUUUGACUAAAUGGUUAAGUUGCUACUGCUUUCAGUAAAUUUGAUUGUUCAUCAUGCUUAAGUUGGUUACAAAAAGUAACUAAGUUCCUUUUUUGCUUUUUAUGGUUCAACAUGCUUAACUUUCAUACUGUUUUUCAUUGAGUUGUUCGUACAACAUGGUUAAGUUAUGUACUACAUAUAGCUAAGUUUGAUUUUCACAUCAUGGGUUUAAGUUGCCACGGGGUUUUUUCCUAGGAGGUAUAAAACCACCUGUAGCUUUUCGAGCCUUUUCCAUUUCAUCAACAUGCAUAAGUUGGUUCAUGGUUUUAAUUAAGUUGUUUUAAUUGUUAUGGUUAAGUUGGUACUGAAUUUGGUUAAAUUGAUUCUUACAAAAAAAUGUUGUCCUUUACAUUAUAUCUAGGUUUUUAUUUCCCUCAGCUAGAGAUGCAAGUGGGCCAAGAUUAGGGUACCCUCUACCCUAUUUGGUUAAAAAAUGAACUAAUAAUUUUGGAUGACAUCAUCAUUUUAGUUCAACUUUUGCAGAAAAGAGGGUAAAGGGUACCCUAAUGUUGCCCCACUUGCAUCUAUACCCUCAGCUAACCUAUACAAGUUGGCUCUUGUUUUUUAAGUUAGUUUCCUUUGUUAGAAUGCUCAAGUUCAAAGCUGAAAGUUAUUAAGUUGGUUUUCCUGCUAGUCACGUUUUUCCUUUUUUAGUUUGUGCUUCAAAUUGUAGGUAGUUGGAUACUAUAGUUUAGAGUUGCCUUGCCAACAUGCUUAAGUCGAGUAGUGAAAUUAAUUAACUUGAUUCCUCCAACAUGCUUAAGUUGUUGGGUAUUAGUAUAAUCUAUCUGGUUUUCGUUUUUGAGCGACAUGCACAAGUUGGUUAGUAGUCUAAUUAAGUUGCCUUGUCAAGAUGUUUAAAGUUCUUAUCUAGGGCCGCACAACCAGUACCAUCUCGAGCACGGUGGUGGAGGAGGCCAUGGCGCCUAGCUACCUCGAGUAGGUGGCGGCACCCACGAAGCCUAGCAUGAGCGCAAGCCUGCCAUGGCCCCUGACCAAGGUUCAAUGGAGAUCUGCAAGAGAGAAAGAAGAGAAGAGUGCUGGGAGGGGCGUCACGUGGUCCUUGGCCGUGGUUGGCGCUUGUGAGCUAGAGGUACACAGUUACGUGAGGGAUGGUCCAGGUGGCGUUGGACUGUUGGAGAACCUGGUCAGCUACCGGGGCGAAUAUGUGUCUGUGUUUUUUUUUGGGCGAGUGCUGGGUGGGACAAAAGAGCACCCGAAUGCUGGGUGGAACAAAAGAGCACCCGGAUGCUGGGAUAGACAAAACAGCACCGGAUGCUAGCUAGCCACGUCCUACUUUUAAUGACGUACGGACUCACAUAUACUAGUAAAGAUGGAAAUAUUUAAUUUGUCAUAUACUCUGAAGGAAAUGUUAGAUAUGUGUGAUAGAAGAAAAACCUUAGAGCA
Molecule: long non-coding RNA, 4116 nt
Organism: Lolium perenne
Lineage: Eukaryota; Viridiplantae; Streptophyta; Magnoliopsida; Poales; Poaceae
Source: RefSeq, a predicted model, not a curated record